This 498-nucleotide ribosomal RNA is filed under the name uncultured bacterium. Its description in RNAcentral is "partial 16S ribosomal RNA". It matches the Rfam family "Bacterial small subunit ribosomal RNA", at positions 28 to 507 of the family's 1533-position model. The record is from RNAcentral.
GACGAACGCUGGCGGCGUGCCUAAUACAUGCAAGUCGAACGAGAGCGACCGGUGCUUGCACUGGUCAAUCUAGUGGCGAACGGGUGAGUAACACGUGGGUAACCUGCCCAUCAGAGGGGGAUAACAUCCGGAAACGGAUGCUAAAACCGCAUAGGUCUUCGAGCCGUAUGGCUUGAAGAGGAAAAGAGGCGCAAGCUUCUGCUGAUGGAUGGACCCGCGGUGCAUUAGCUAGUUGGUGAGGUAACGGCUCACCAAGGCCGUGAUGCAUAGCCGACCUGAGAGGGUGAUCGGCCACAUUGGGACUGAGACACGGCCCAAACUCCUACGGGAGGCAGCAGUAGGGAAUCUUCCGCAAUGGACGCAAGUCUGACGGAGCAACGCCGCGUGAGUGAAGAAGGUUUUCGGAUCGUAAAACUCUGUUGUUAGAGAAGAACAAGUGCUAGAGUAACUGUUAGCGCCUUGACGGUAUCUAACCAGAAAGCCACGGCUAACUACGUG